AAAUAAAUAUAUUUUACUUGUGAUUGCGACAGCUAUAUACGGAGACGAAAGCAUGGAUAGUAUAAAUAUUGUUAUGAGCAUCUGCAUGAUUGUUGCAGCAGCUACAUAUUAUUUUAAUACUCGGACGUCCCACUCUGGCACACACUUUGCAGAACGUCCCAAUUAUCACGUCAACGUUGUUAACAGACCAAGGCAAAUACAGCGUGUUCGAGACAGACGUCCGGACAUUUGCGCCGUCUGCCUACAGCCAAUGAAUCCAGGCAAUAUGCAUAGAAUGAAUUGUGGUCAUGCGUUGUGUCAACAUCCAUGCUUUGUUGAAUACCGAGAAACGAGCCGUGUAUGUCCGUACUGCGAUCAGGUUGUGAUGCGCCUUAAUGAGCCCUUUGACGAUUGCUUCAUCUGCAACGUGCCCAUGGAGUCGGAAAACAUGCACUACUUGUCGUGCGAGCACGCUCUGCACCUUACAUGUCUUCAUUUACAUAGGAGAAAUAAUUAUACUUGUCCCAAUUGCCCAAAUAACAGCUAACGUUAUCUAUACCUAUAUAGAGAAAGGGUGUUGAGUUCAGUACCAAUGCCAACGAAUGGAAUAUCGAAACACUUUAGGGCGCACCCUUCUCUUUAUACCUAACAUGUUGUCUAUAUGUUGAAUGCUUCCUUGUAGUGUUCACAAAUUUUAUUGAAAGCAAUAAACGCUGUCUAAGCUGCCUAAAGAAA
This is a long non-coding RNA of Drosophila montana, 714 nucleotides long. RefSeq lists it as uncharacterized. Lineage: Eukaryota; Metazoa; Arthropoda; Insecta; Diptera; Drosophilidae. The transcript has 2 exons. The record is from RefSeq and is a predicted model, not a curated record.